ACCAGGCACAGAAUGUCAAGGAGUGCAGUAUAUCCCUUUGGGAGGAACAGUUUCAGGUGAGCUGAGCCAUGGCCAAACUUUCUUUGGUAAUGAACCCAGAAAGAAGAGUCUAUUAGUGGGUGGAGCUUCCCAGAGACAUUAGGACGAUACUCUAUUCUCUGAUGAGAUUUAAUUCAGUGCUGUCAAAGAUGGGUAGUGGGCUAGAUGAUCUUUGAAACUUUACUCUGGCAUUAUCUCAUAGUAGCCCAGAUACAGAUAUAUCUAUCUGCAAUCUUAAGGUAAGAAAACCUAAAUUCUUAUAA
Molecule: long non-coding RNA, 302 nt
Organism: Heterocephalus glaber (naked mole-rat)
Lineage: Eukaryota; Metazoa; Chordata; Mammalia; Rodentia; Bathyergidae
Source: Ensembl